RNAcentral lists this ribosomal RNA (396 nucleotides) under uncultured bacterium. RNAcentral's name for it is "partial 16S ribosomal RNA". It matches the Rfam family "Bacterial small subunit ribosomal RNA", at positions 360 to 773 of the family's 1533-position model. The record is from RNAcentral.
AAUAUUGGACAAUGGGCGAAAGCCUGACCGAGCAACGCCGCGUGAAGGACGAAGGCCUUCGGGUCGUAAACUUUUGUCUUUGGGGACGAUAAUGACGGUACCCAAGGAGGAAGCCCCGGCUAACUACGUGCCAGCAGCCGCGGUAAUACGUAGGGGGCGAGCGUUGUCCGGAAUUACUGGGCGUAAAGGGUGCGUAGGCGGCCUUUUAAUUCAGAUGUGAAAGACCACGGCUUAACCGGGGGACUGCAUUUGAAACUGGAGGGCUUGAGUAUCGGAGAGGGUAGUGGAAUUCCCAGUGUAGCGGUGGAAUGCGUAGAUAUUGGGAGGAACACCAGUGGCGAAGGCGACUACCUGGACGAAAACUGACGCUGAGGCACGAAAGCUAGGGGAGCAAAC